AAUCAACGCUGGCGGCGUGCCUAACACAUGCAAGUCGAACGCGAAAGCCCCUUCGGGGGUAAGUAGAGUGGCGUCCGGGUGAGUAACACGUAGGUAAUCUACCUUCGGGUGGGGAAUAACUCGCCGAAAGGCGAGCUAAUACCGCAUAAUGCAGCGGCACCUAAUGGUGAUUAGUUGUUAAAGCGGGGGAUCGUAAGACCUCGCGCCUGAAGAGGAGCCUGCGGCAGAUUAGCUAGUUGGNGAGGUAAUGGCUCACCAAGGCUUCGAUCUGUAGCUGGUCUGAGAGGGCGCACGGCCACACUGGAACUGAAACACGGUCCAGACUCCUACGGGAGGCAGCAGUGGGGAAUUUUGCGCAAUGGGGGAAACCCUGACGCAGCAACGCCGCGUGGAGGAUGAAGUCCCUUGGGACGUAAACUCCUUUCGACCGGGACAUAAUGACGGUACCGGUGGAAGAAGCCCGGCUAACUUCGUGCCAGCCGCCGCUGUAAC
Molecule: ribosomal RNA, 492 nt
Filed under: uncultured bacterium
Lineage: Bacteria
Description: partial 16S ribosomal RNA
Rfam family: Bacterial small subunit ribosomal RNA
Source: RNAcentral